UUCUUGGUGAGGGAGCUGAUGUUCAGUUCCCACUUGAGGUCCUGGGAGAGGAUAGUGCCCAGGAAGCGGAAGGACUCCACAGGGUUUACUGGGGCUGUAUUCUUAGUAGUCCACAAACAUCUCCACUGUCUUAAGAGCAUUAGCUCUUGGUUGUUCUGGCUACACAAGGUCACCAGGUUAUUUUAACUACUGAUAGUGGUAGGUUAUCUUGCUAACACAUAUCCAAAAAUGCACAGUGUCCAAAACACUAAGAACAUUAUUCUAGUUUUCUAAUACUUUACCAUUGUGUUGGCCGGUAGGAUUUGUAACGCAAAUAGGCCUAAUGUCAGUUUUCUGGUCAUUUCCACAAAAUUAUGCAUAAAGUAACUCUGCGAUUGGGGCCACUAUAAAAUGCAUUCUGAGUAAAACCUUUCACUUUGGCACCAACCUUUUAGUCCAGCAUAUGAUCUGGACAAGUCAUGGGAUAAAGCCCCAGUUUAUAAAAAAGUAACUUAUUUGUUGCACAAAUUUACCCUGUAACCAACACAGAAAUGUAUGAUAUGACUUGUGCUUGGUUUGGAAAGAUGUACAUUUUUUCGAACAUAUAGGGGUACAAAUGCAAUAAGAAAGAUGUCAGUGUGUGACCCAUGGUGUGACCAAAUUUAUGUUGGGGGAUGGGAUGACUACUGCCUCAGGGCUGUCAAGGAAUUUCCUAGGAGAUUAGAAACAGUAAGUCUAUUGUUAUUAAUGCUAGUAAACAGAAAACUCUGUGAAAUCAACAAUGAACUGUCCAAUAUAAUAAUUGGACAGUAAAUUGGACAGUAAAAAUAUUUAUCUCGGAGACAACAUUGAAUGUUGAUUUUUGAAUGAGGAAGGUUCACACAUGCGCAGUGGUUGUAGCAGUAGCACUUUGCUUCUCCCAACUGUCACUGCCGCACAUGGCGCGAAAACCGGAGAAGAAUGGAGGUUUCAGCUGCUCCAGAAGUUAUAGGAUUCAGGAAUUAUACUGACUGAAGAAGAGACAAAGAGAUUCAGAGAUUUACAUUUUCUCACACUCUACAUUGUCACCUGGAGUCAGCUCUGUAACCGUGGCCCCAAGUUUUUGUGGAAAUGGCUGAGACCGAUUUCCUCAGUGCCAUGGAGAGAACGACAGUGGGGAUCUAUGUUGUGAAAGACACUGCCAGCAGUGAACCCUCUGAUGUCAGGAUAGUCCUCAAAGGUGUGAUGGUGCUUCAAGAUCUUGAGAAUGUAGCACUUGCUUCUGCAAUGUUGUUUGGGCUCUUAUGCCUUGAACAUGCAGCACCCUACAAAGCUCCGCUACACCUUUGAGGCAUUUCAAAAGAUCAUCAUGGAGCCUCAGCAUCAGACACUUAAUAAUAUGAGCCUGUCAGCUGCAAAAACAGAACUUUUAGUGACACUAACUGACCAUGCACAGUUGCCCUAUAUAACGUUGCAGCCCGGUUCACAGCAAUCUUGCUCAAUGCUGGACCAAUUUUCAUGAAUUAACCACUAGAUAGCCUAAAUUUAUAUUGAUUGGCUGUAAAUGUAGCUGUUUUUUAAGUAUGCUUGUUUUUCCACUGUCCAAUUAACAUUUUUAUAUCUAUAAUUUCUUUAAAUUGACUGAUUAAUACUGUAAAUGUGCUGACAUUCCUUUUUGAUUAAAAGUACAUAUUCAGUA
Molecule: long non-coding RNA, 1657 nt
Organism: Osmerus eperlanus (European smelt)
Lineage: Eukaryota; Metazoa; Chordata; Actinopteri; Osmeriformes; Osmeridae
Exons: 3
Source: RefSeq, a predicted model, not a curated record